GAUGAACGCUGGCUACAGGCUUAACACAUGCAAGUCGAGGGGAAACGACGGGGAAGCUUGCUUCCCCGGGCGUCGACCGGCGCACGGGUGAGUAACGCGUAUCCAACCUGCCUCUGACUGAGGGAUAACCCGUCGAAAGUCGGCCUAAUACCUCAUGGCAUCGUCUGCGGGCAUCCAACGACGAUUAAAGAUUUCAUCGGUCAGAGAUGGGGAUGCGUCUGAUUAGCUUGUUGGCGGGGUAACGGCCCACCAAGGCGACGAUCAGUAGGGGUUCUGAGAGGAAGGUCCCCCACAUUGGAACUGAGACACGGUCCAAACUCCUACGGGAGGCAGCAGUGAGGAAUAUUGGUCAAUGGGCGAGAGCCUGAACCAGCCAAGUAGCGUGCAGGAUGACGGCCUUAUGGGUUGUAAACUGCUUUUAUGCGGGGAUAAAGUGAGGGACGUGUCCUUCAUUGCAGGUACCGCAUGAAUAAGGACCGGCUAAUUCCGUG
This 491-nucleotide ribosomal RNA is filed under the name uncultured bacterium. RNAcentral describes it as "partial 16S ribosomal RNA". It matches the Rfam family "Bacterial small subunit ribosomal RNA", at positions 28 to 507 of the family's 1533-position model. The record is from RNAcentral.